RNAcentral lists this ribosomal RNA (337 nucleotides) under uncultured bacterium. RNAcentral's name for it is "bacterial SSU rRNA". It matches the Rfam family "Bacterial small subunit ribosomal RNA", at positions 8 to 334 of the family's 1533-position model. The record is from RNAcentral.
AGGGUUCGAUUAUGGCUCAGGAUAAACGCUGGCGGCGCACAUAAGACAUGCAAGUCGAACGAACUUAAUUUGAAAGUUUACUUUUGAAAGCGGUUAGUGGCGGACUGGUGAGUAACGCGUAAGCAAUCUGCCUAUCAGAGGGGAAUAACAGUGAGAAAUCACUGCUAAUACCGCAUAAGCUGUGAGGAGCACAUGCUCUAAAUAGAAAAGGAGCAAUCCGCUGAUAGAUGAGCUUGCGUCUGAUUAGUUAGUUGGUGAGGUAACGGCCCACCAAGACGAUGAUCAGUAGCCGGACUGAGAGGUUGAACGGCCACAUUGGGACUGAGAUACGGCCCAG